This 254-nucleotide ribosomal RNA is filed under the name uncultured bacterium. Its description in RNAcentral is "partial 16S ribosomal RNA". It matches the Rfam family "Bacterial small subunit ribosomal RNA", at positions 524 to 776 of the family's 1533-position model. The record is from RNAcentral.
UACGGGGGGGGGCAAGCGUUGUUCGGAAUUACUGGGCGUAAAGGGCUCGUAGGUGGCCAACUAAGUCGGACGUGAAAUCCCUCGGCUUAACCGGGGAACUGCAUCCGAUACUGGAUGGCUUGAGUUCGGGAGAGGGAUGCGGAAUUCCAGGUGUAGCGGUGAAAUGCGUAGAUAUCAGGAGGAACACCAAUGGCGAAGGCAGCUCGCUGGAACGAUACUGACGCUGAGGCGCGAAAGCGUGGGGAGCAAACAGG